Molecule: long non-coding RNA, 155 nt
Organism: Sinocyclocheilus rhinocerous
Lineage: Eukaryota; Metazoa; Chordata; Actinopteri; Cypriniformes; Cyprinidae
Exons: 3
Source: RefSeq, a predicted model, not a curated record
AUUUCUGCUGCCGCUGGGUCUCUGUUGGUUUUAGCUACAGUCGUGAUGUGCUGCAUCUGCUGGAAAUGUAGAAAAACAGUCCGGACACAAGAGGAAGAAAGAACUGAAUCAGCAUUGUUUAAACCAACAACACGAAAAAAAAAAUCAAAGGAGGG